GCCCACUCUAGCUCAGAGUGUUUAUGUCGUUCUAAGAAGAAGACGCAAGUUUUGGCUUGCUACCAAGGUUUUUCAUUGUGUUUACUAGGAAGAUUGUGCAUGCAUCCAAGAAAAAUCACAAGUCCAUUUCUAACUGUAACCACAAAGAUACUUCAAUGAUGUGUGUGGGUUUGUGCAACUGUCUGGUGGUGACCUAAAGAAUAAAGCUCUGGAUAUGAAAACAUCUGCCUGCUUUCUGCCGGACUGCCUGGAGUGGGUCAGACCAAAGUACAGUCAGCAUUGUCAUUAGCUGGUGAGGGUUCAGAAGCCAACCGCUCAGAUGGCUCCAGAUGGCAGUGUUUACAUCCUGUUACUCGUUAACCUCUUACAUCUAGGCGUUCCGCUAGUGGAACCCCGUUCCGCCAGCGGAACCCCUAGCCAACAGCCAAUGGGAUCGCAUGGCGCGAAAUACAAAACCUCAAAAAUCCAAUAAUUUCAAUUUUUCAAACAUCCAUUUUACACCAUUUGAAAGAAACCUCUCCUGAAUCCAACCACGUUGCCCGAUUUCAAAAAGGCUUUACACCGAAAGCAAAACAUUAGAUUAUGUUAGGAGAGUACAUAGACCAAAAUAACCACACAGCCAUUUUCCAAGCAAGCAUAUAUGUCAAUAAAACCCAAAACAGCUUCCCUUAUCAGUUACCCUCCCCAGGACAUGUUGCCCUCCUGCUCCUCCCAUGCUGUAUCUUCCUCAGCUGGGGCAUGCAAAGCUCCCUGUUACCCAGAGGACCCCCAUGCACCUCCUCAAGACAGCUAUCACAUGGGUCGCCCACGUACCCCCCUACUGCCCCCUUAUAUCCUAAUGAGCCCCAGGUCUACCCCACAUAUGCAAUGCCACCCCCUUCACUCCAGGACGAGCAGCCCCCUCUGGCAGACCGGUACAGAGAGAAGGACUAGGACAGAGCGGGACAGGGACUCAGGAGUGAGGUAUGGUGCCAGUAGGAUCGGCUCUAGAAGGUCAUCUUACCAGGAGGCCAACUCUUCCUCAAAUGAUUCGCACCACUCGGAGUGAGAGUGAGGGGAGAGGGGCUACAGACGGGACAGCCUGGGCUCCAGAGAUCACUGCAGACAUCGUAACCACCACUCACACAACCGCAGCAGCAGAGCAGCCAUGACCGGGACAGCAGGAACAGAAACAGAGACUACUCCAACAGCUCCGAUCCCACCACACCCCUCUGCUUCCCCCACUGCACCCUCCCCUCCUGCAGCCUCUGUGAUAGCCCAGGACUGUGGCCAGGAUGGCCCGGCCAAGCCCAAACUCCAUGUGUAUCUAGGGCUGAGCGAUGUGGCCAAAAUAUCAUAUAACUGUAUUUUUGAUGGUAUGUUGGUUUUUGAUGUUUCUGAAUACUAAUAAAGUUAUAAAUAUGC
This is a long non-coding RNA of Salmo salar (Atlantic salmon), 1404 nucleotides long. RefSeq lists it as uncharacterized. The record is from RefSeq and is a predicted model, not a curated record. NCBI's taxonomy places the organism in Eukaryota, Metazoa, Chordata, Actinopteri, Salmoniformes, Salmonidae.